RNAcentral lists this transfer RNA (86 nucleotides) under Acidimicrobiia bacterium BACL6 MAG-120322-bin79. RNAcentral's name for it is "tRNA-Leu". It matches the Rfam family "tRNA". Rfam says of the family: Transfer RNA (tRNA) molecules are approximately 80 nucleotides in length. Lineage: Bacteria; Bacillati; Actinomycetota; Acidimicrobiia. The record is from RNAcentral. RNAcentral also lists the same sequence under 8 other names.
GCCCGAGUGGCGGAAUGGCAGACGCGACGGACUCAAAAUCCGUUGUCUGAAAGGGCGUGUGGGUUCGACUCCCACCUCGGGCACCA